Molecule: ribosomal RNA, 505 nt
Filed under: uncultured bacterium
Lineage: Bacteria
Description: partial 16S ribosomal RNA
Rfam family: Bacterial small subunit ribosomal RNA
Source: RNAcentral
GACGAACGCUGGCGGCGUGCCUAAUACAUGCAAGUCGAACGCAUUUUCUUUCACCGUAGCUUGCUACACCGAAAGAAAAUGAGUGGCGAACGGGUGAGUAACACGUGGGUAACCUGCCCAUCAGCGGGGGAUAACACUUGGAAACAGGUGCUAAUACCGCAUAAUUCCAUUUACCGCAUGGUAGAUGGGUGAAAGGCGCUUUUGCGUCACUGAUGGAUGGACCCGCGGUGCAUUAGCUAGUUGGUGGGGUAACGGCCUACCAAGGCUGCGAUGCAUAGCCGACCUGAGAGGGUGAUCGGCCACACUGGGACUGAGACACGGCCCAGACUCCUACGGGAGGCAGCAGUAGGGAAUCUUCGGCAAUGGACGCAAGUCUGACCGAGCAACGCCGCGUGAGUGAAGAAGGUUUUCGGAUCGUAAAACUCUGUUGUUAGAGAAGAACAAGGAUGAGAGUGGAAAGUUCAUCCCUUGACGGUAUCUAACCAGAAAGCCACGGCUAACUACG